UGAACGCUAGCUACAGGCUUAACACAUGCAAGUCGGGGGGCAGCAUUUUAGUUUGCUUGCAAACUGAAGAUGGCGACCGGCGCACGGGUGAGUAACACGUAUCCAACCUGCCGAUAACUCCGGAAUAGCCUUUCGAAAGAAAGAUUAAUACCGGAUAGCAUACGAAUAUCGCAUGAUAUUUUUAUUAAAGAAUUUCGGUUAUCGAUGGGGAUGCGUUCCAUUAGUUUGUUGGCGGGGUAACGGCCCACCAAGACAACGAUGGAUAGGGGUUCUGAGAGGAAGGUCCCCCACAUUGGAACUGAGACACGGUCCAAACUCCUACGGGAGGCAGCAGUGAGGAAUAUUGGUCAAUGGGCGAGAGCCUGAACCAGCCAAGUAGCGUGAAGGAUGAAGGCUCUAUGGGUCGUAAACUUCUUUUAUAUGGGAAUAAAGUUUUCCACGUGUGGAAUUUUGUAUGUACCAUAUGAAUAAGGAUCGGCUAACUCCGUGCCAGCAGCCGCGGUAAUACGGAGGAUCCGAGCGUUAUCCGGAUUUAUUGGGUUUAAAGGGAGCGUAGGUGGAUUGUUAAGUCAGUUGUGAAAGUUUGCGGCUCAACCGUAAAAUUGCAGUUGAAACUGGCAGUCUUGAGUACAGUAGAGGUGGGCGGAAUUCGUGGUGUAGCGGUGAAAUGCUUAGAUAUCACGAAGAACUCCGAUUGCGAAGGCAGCUCACUAGACUGUCACUGACACUGAUGCUCGAAAGUGUGGGUAUCAAACAGGAUUAGAUACCCUGGUAGUCCACACAGUAAACGAUGAAUACUCGCUGUUUGCGAUAUACAGUAAGCGGCCAAGCGAAAGCAUUAAGUAUUCCACCUGGGGAGUACGCCGGCAACGGUGAAACUCAAAGGAAUUGACGGGGGCCCGCACAAGCGGAGGAACAUGUGGUUUAAUUCGAUGAUACGCGAGGAACCUUACCCGGGCUUAAAUUGCAACAGAAUAUAUUGGAAACAGUAUAGCCGUAAGGCUGUUGUGAAGGUGCUGCAUGGUUGUCGUCAGCUCGUGCCGUGAGGUGUCGGCUUAAGUGCCAUAACGAGCGCAACCCUUAUCUUUAGUUACUAACAGGUGAUGCUGAGGACUCUAGAGAGACUGCCGUCGUAAGAUGUGAGGAAGGUGGGGAUGACGUCAAAUCAGCACGGCCCUUACGUCCGGGGCUACACACGUGUUACAAUGGGGGGUACAGAAGGCGGCUACCUGGUGACAGGAUGCUAAUCCCAAAAACCUCUCUCAGUUCGGAUCGAAGUCUGCAACCCGACUUCGUGAAGCUGGAUUCGCUAGUAAUCGCGCAUCAGCCAUGGCGCGGUGAAUACGUUCCCGGGCCUUGUACACACCGCCCGUCAAGCCAUGAAAGCCGGGGGUACCUGAAGUACGUAACCGCAAGGAGCGUCCUAGGGUAAAACUGGUAAUUGGGGCUA
This 1450-nucleotide ribosomal RNA is filed under the name uncultured organism. RNAcentral's name for it is "SSU rRNA". It matches the Rfam family "Bacterial small subunit ribosomal RNA". The record is from RNAcentral.